Molecule: ribosomal RNA, 245 nt
Filed under: uncultured bacterium
Lineage: Bacteria
Description: partial 16S ribosomal RNA
Rfam family: Bacterial small subunit ribosomal RNA
Source: RNAcentral
GUAGGGAGCAAGCGUUGUCCGGAAUUACUGGGUGUAAAGGGAGCGUAGGCGGGAUGGCAAGUAGAAUGUUAAAUCCAUCGGCUCAACCGGUGGCUGCGUUCUAAACUGCCGUUCUUGAGUGAAGUAGAGGCAGGCGGAAUUCCUAGUGUAGCGGUGAAAUGCGUAGAUAUUAGGAGGAACACCAGUGGCGAAGGCGGCCUGCUGGGCUUUAACUGACGCUGAGGCUCGAAAGCGUGGGGAGCAAA